UACGGGGGGGGCAAGCGUUGUUCGGAAUUACUGGGCGUAAAGGGCGCGUAGGCGGCCUGCUAAGUCACACGUGAAAUCCCUCGGCUCAACCGGGGAACUGCGUGUGAUACUGUCGGGCUAGAGUGCGGAAGGGGCAACUGGAAUUCUCGGUGUAGCGGUGAAAUGCGUAGAUAUCGAGAGGAACACCUGCGGCGAAGGCGGGUUGCUGGGCCGACACUGACGCUGAGGCGCGAAAGCUAGGGGAGCGAACGGG
This 253-nucleotide ribosomal RNA is filed under the name uncultured bacterium. RNAcentral describes it as "partial 16S ribosomal RNA". It matches the Rfam family "Bacterial small subunit ribosomal RNA", at positions 524 to 776 of the family's 1533-position model. The record is from RNAcentral.